Molecule: transfer RNA, 75 nt
Filed under: Acinetobacter baumannii
Lineage: Bacteria; Pseudomonadati; Pseudomonadota; Gammaproteobacteria; Moraxellales; Moraxellaceae
Description: tRNA-Gln
Rfam family: tRNA
About the family: Transfer RNA (tRNA) molecules are approximately 80 nucleotides in length. Their secondary structure includes four short double-helical elements and three loops (D, anti-codon, and T loops).
Source: RNAcentral
AGGGGCGUCGCCAAGUGGUAAGGCAGCGGGUUUUGAUCCCGCCAUCCGUUGGUUCGACUACAUCCGCCACUUCCC